This 604-nucleotide ribosomal RNA is filed under the name uncultured bacterium. Its description in RNAcentral is "bacterial SSU rRNA". It matches the Rfam family "Bacterial small subunit ribosomal RNA", at positions 521 to 1125 of the family's 1533-position model. The record is from RNAcentral.
GUAUACAGAGGGUGCAAGCGUAAUCGGAUUUACUGGGCGUAAAGCGCGCGUAGGUGGCCAAUUAAGUCAAAUGUGAAAUCCCCGAGCUUAACUUGGGAAUUGCAUUCGAUACUGGUUGGCUAGAGUAUGGGAGAGGAUGGUAGAAUUCCAGGUGUAGCGGUGAAAUGCGUAGAGAUCUGGAGGAAUACCGAUGGCGAAGGCAGCCAUCUGGCCUAAUACUGACACUGAGGUGCGAAAGCAUGGGGAGCAAACAGGAUUAGAUACCCUGGUAGUCCAUGCCGUAAACGAUGUCUACUAGCCGUUGGGGCCUUUGAGGCUUUAGUGGCGCAGCUAACGCGAUAAGUAGGCCGCCUGGGGAGUACGGUCGCAAGACUAAAACUCAAAUGAAUUGACGGGGGCCCGCACAAGCGGUGGAGCAUGUGGUUAAAUUCGAUGCAACGCGAAGAACCUUACCUGGUCUUGACAUAGUAAGAACUUUCCAGAGAUGGAUUGGUGCCUUCGGGAACUUACAUACAGGUGCUGCAUGGCUGUCGUCAGCUCGUGUCGUGAGAUGUUGGGUUAAGUCCCGCAACGAGCGCAACCCUUUUCCUUAUUUGCCAGCGGG